UACAGAGGGUGCAAGCGUUAAUCGGAAUUACUGGGCGUAAAGCGCGUGUAGGCUGCUCGGAAAGUCGGAUGUGAAAGCCCUGGGCUCAACCUAGGAAGUGCAUUCGAAACUUCCGAGCUGGAGUGCUGGAGAGGAAGGCGGAAUUCUCGGUGUAGAGGUGAAAUUCGUAGAUAUCGAGAGGAACACCGGUGGCGAAGGCGGCCUUCUGGACAGCCACUGACGCUGAGACGCGAAAGCGUGGGGAGCAAACAGG
This 253-nucleotide ribosomal RNA is filed under the name uncultured bacterium. RNAcentral's name for it is "partial 16S ribosomal RNA". It matches the Rfam family "Bacterial small subunit ribosomal RNA", at positions 524 to 776 of the family's 1533-position model. The record is from RNAcentral.